Molecule: non-coding RNA, 83 nt
Organism: Ascodesmis nigricans
Lineage: Eukaryota; Fungi; Ascomycota; Pezizomycetes; Pezizales; Ascodesmidaceae
Source: the annotation of a GenBank genome assembly
GCUCGCAUGGCCCAGUGGUAAGGCGUCGCACUCGUACGUACAUGCAAAUGCGAAGAUCACCGGUUCAAAUCCGGUUGUGAGCA